GACGAACGCUGGCGGCGUGCUUAACACAUGCAAGUCGAACGGAAAGGCCCUGCUUUCGUGGUUUGCUCGUGUGGCUAACGUGUGAGUAACACGUGAGUAACCUCCCCUUCACUUUGGGAUAACUUCAGGAAACUGGGCCAAAUCCCGGAUAGUUGCUCUUGCUUCUUGUGGGGGGUUGGAAAUUUUGGGCGGUUGGGGAUGGACACGCGGCUUUUUAGCUUGUUGGUGGGGUAGGGGCUUACCAGGGCUUUGAUGGUUAGCCGGCCUGAGUGGGUGACCGGCAAGAGUGGGACUGAGAUAGGGCCCAGACUCCUGCGGGGGGCAGCGGGGGGGAAGAUGGCAGAAAGGGCGGAAGUCUGAUGCAGCAACGCCGCGUGCGGGAUGACGGCUUACGGGUGGUAAACCGCUUUCGCCGGGGAAGAAGCAUGAGUGACGGUACCGGGUCAAGAAGCACAGGCUAACUACGUG
This 468-nucleotide ribosomal RNA is filed under the name uncultured bacterium. RNAcentral describes it as "partial 16S ribosomal RNA". It matches the Rfam family "Bacterial small subunit ribosomal RNA", at positions 28 to 507 of the family's 1533-position model. The record is from RNAcentral.